Molecule: ribosomal RNA, 893 nt
Filed under: uncultured bacterium
Lineage: Bacteria
Description: bacterial SSU rRNA
Rfam family: Bacterial small subunit ribosomal RNA
Source: RNAcentral
GAUAAACGCUAGCGGCAGGCUUAACACAUGCAAGUCGAGGGGCAGCAUAAAAGUAGCAAUACUUUGGUGGCGACCGGCGCACGGGUGCGUAACGCGUAUGCAACCUGCCCGUCACAGGGGGAUAAUCCAGAGAAAUCUGGUCUAAUACCCCAUAUGAUAAGAUACGGCAUCGUAUCUUGUUAAAAUUUUCGGAGGUGACGGAUGGGCAUGCGUAGCAUUAGUUAGUUGGUGAGGUAACGGCUCACCAAGGCGACGAUGACUAGGGGUUCUGAGAGGAAAGUCCCCCACACUGGUACUGAGACACGGACCAGACUCCUACGGGAGGCAGCAGUAGGGAAUAUUGGGCAAUGGGAGCAAUCCUGACCCAGCCAUGCCGCGUGCAGGAAGACGGCGCUAUGCGUUGUAAACUGCUUUUGUGCAGGGAUAAUUGAUGAUACGUGUAUCAUCUUGCAGGUACUGUACGAACAAGCAUCGGCUAACUCCGUGCCAGCAGCCGCGGUAAUACGGAGGAUGCAAGCGUUAUCCGGAUUUAUUGGGUUUAAAGGGUGCGCAGGCUGGAUGAUAAGUCUGCGGUGAAAGGUUAGAGCUUAACUCUGACAUUGCCGUGGAUACUGUUGUUCUAGAUGAUAGUUGACGUUGGCGGAAUAUGUCAAGUAGCGGUGAAAUGCUUAGAUAUGACAUAGAACACCAGUGGGGAAGCCGGCUAACGAAACUAUUCAUGACGCUCAUGCACGAAAGCGUGGGGAUCAAACAGGAUUAGAUACCCUGGUAGUCCACGCAGUAAACGAUGAUCACUCGUUGUCGGCGAUAGACCGUCGGUGGCUAAGCGAAAGUGAUAAGUGAUCCACCUGGGGAGUACGUUCGCAAGUAUGAAACUCAAAUGAAUUGACGGG